AUGCAUGUGUAAGUACAAGCCUAUGUAAGGUAAAACCGCGAAUGGCUCAUUAAAACAGCUAUGUUUCAUUGGAUCUGUACCAAAUUACUUGGAUAACUGUGGUAAUUCUAGAGCUAAUACAUGCACACAGAGUCCCUGACCGAGAGGGAAGGGCGCUUUUAUUAGUUUAAAACCGGUCGGCGGAUCUCGGUCCGUAACCUACCUGUGGUGAAUCUGGAUAACUUUGAGCUGAGCGCACAGUCUCCGCACUGGCGCCGCAUCUUUCAAGUGUCUGCCUUAUCAGCUUUCGAUUGUAGGUUAUGCGCCUACAAUGGCUAUAACGGGUAACGGGGAAUCAGGGUUCGAUUCCGGAGAGGGAGCCUGAGAAACGGCUACCACAUCCAAGGAAGGCAGCAGGCACGCAAAUUACCCACUCCCGGCCUGGGGAGGUAGUGACGAAAAAUAACGAUGUGAGACUCAUCCGAGGCCUCACAAUCGGAAUGAGUACACUUUAAAUCCUUUAACGAGGAUCUAUUGGAGGGCAAGUCUGGUGCCAGCAGCCGCGGUAAUUCCAGCUCCAAUAGCGUAUAUUAAAGUUGUUGCGGUUAAAAAGCUCGUAGUUGGAUUACAGUUCCGGACUGAUGGUACACCUCCCGGUGUUUACUGUCACGCUCCGAACAGCCUGGUAUUUAACAGUACAGGCCCCGCUGGCUCGCCCGGGGUGCUCUUCAUCGAGUGUCCCGAGUGGCUGGCAAGUUUACUUUGAAAAAAUUAGAGUGCUCAGAGCAGGCUACAUGAAUGGCCUAAAUGUCUAUGCAUGGAAUAAUGGAAUAGGACCUCGGUUCUA
RNAcentral lists this ribosomal RNA (826 nucleotides) under Diogenes pugilator. RNAcentral's name for it is "SSU rRNA". It matches the Rfam family "Eukaryotic small subunit ribosomal RNA", at positions 51 to 838 of the family's 1831-position model. Lineage: Eukaryota; Metazoa; Arthropoda; Malacostraca; Decapoda; Diogenidae. The record is from RNAcentral.